Bombina bombina (fire-bellied toad) is the source of this 216-nucleotide long non-coding RNA. RefSeq lists it as uncharacterized. NCBI's taxonomy places the organism in Eukaryota, Metazoa, Chordata, Amphibia, Anura, Bombinatoridae. The record is from RefSeq and is a predicted model, not a curated record. The transcript is spliced from 3 exons.
CAGGCAGUACUGAUGACGUAGGUGCAGAGAACAUGUGAAACAGGAGAGAUACGAUGAUAAAUGAGAGUGAACGUGUUUUGCUACAGGUGUACGUGGUAGCUGGAUGGUCACCACGCUGUCCUGCAGUCUUUUUUGUGGGGGAUCUGCUUCCUGCUGCGUCGGUCCAUGCUGCUUCCAACUCCACGAAUGCCCGGUCCGGACCUGCAACAAUGGAAA